AAUUGCAGGUGCUCAUACAUUUGGAAGAGCUCAUUGCUCUUUAUUUGUUAGUCGAUUGUACAACUUCAGCAAUACGGGAAGUCCCGAUCCAACUCUUAACGCAACUUACUUACAACAAUUGCGCAAUAUAUGUCCCAAUGGUGGACCUGGAACUCCCCUUGCAAGUUUUGAUCCAACUACUCCUGAUAAAUUUGACAAGAACUAUUACUCUAAUCUUCAAGUGAAAAAAGGUUUGCUUCAAAGUGAUCAAGAGUUGUUCUCAACAUCUGGUGCUGAUACCAUUAGCAUUGUCAACAACUUUGCCACUGAUCAAAAAGCUUUUUUUGAGAGCUUUAAGGCUGCUAUGAUUAAAAUGGGAAAUAUUGGUGUGUUAACCGGGAACCAAGGAGAGAUUAGAAAACAAUGCAACUUUGUUAAUUCAAAAUCAGUAGAACUAGGUCUUGUCAAUGUUGCCUCAACAGAGGAGGGUAUGGUUAGCUCAAUGUAAAUGUAGUGACUGGAGCCAAAUAAUAAAUAAGCUAUAACUAGGCACAUUCAUGGUAUGUGUUACAUAUCCUUAAAAAAAAAAAAAAAAUGGUAUGUGUUACAUAGUUAUUAGGCGUUUGGUGAACAAUUUGUUUUUAUUUGGUACAAGUUUCUUUUUUUAUGUGAAGUACUCCCUCUAUUCCUUUUUAUGGGAUCUUGUAACGAAAAUCACGAGUAUUAACAAAACUUGUUGGAAUAAUAAAUUUGUCACAAAUAUGUAUGACUAUUACUAAAUUACUCUUUGUUAUAAAUAAGCAACAUGCUAUAUUAGUCUAUUAAUUCACUUAUCUAUCUUAACAUAUAUCAUAUUAUUUGUUUAAAUAUAUUCAGAAGAAAUAGUCUUUUAAACAAGAUACAAGUUAUAUCACCCUUUAGAAACCAAGAAACAUACCUAAAAAAUAUACCUACGAUAGGCUACAAAUCAAACUUAAACCUUAAAUGUUUUGACAAAUUAUAUCGGAUCUUGCAAAGCCUAACUCGACUUAACAUAUAUUUACCCCUUAUCACUAUGGAAGAUUUCAUGUGCCUGAGGUCUUCAGGUUUGAUAACAAUGUGGUUGGCUACAUGCGUGUAUAUAUGGAAAUGUUAACUUGUGUCCUUAGAUCACAUUUUUUGGAACUUAAUUAGAGUGGAAAUUUUGUCUAGGAAAUCAUGUCAAUUUAUUCUUCUAGAGAUUGAAAGUUAAUGUUUUGUAAUAAAUAUUUAUCAUUUAUGGAAUCUUUAGCUAAUAUAUAAAUGACUUUAUCGUUAAUAUAAGCGGAUGUCCAUAUAACAAUUGGGUUAAUGAGUCAUAAUAUUAGACCAUGCAUAUUAUAUUGUUUGUUCUCCAAGUUAUCUCUGUAAAUAAAACUCAAAUGUAACCUAAUUAUACACCACAAAAUAAUAAUAAUAAUAGUAACAAUAAAAUAUUUUUUCUCGGAUUAAUCGAUUUUUUGAUCGGAUACCGAGUUUUCAAAAAAGAAGAAAAAAUAAUAAUAAUAAUAAUAAUAAAAUAUUUAUCUCUCUUCUAUCCCUUCCUCCCCUUUCUUUAUUCUUGUUCUUAUUUCCUUAGUUUCAUAACAAUUAAUUUAUUGAUUUAGAAAACAAUUAUACAGAAACACUUUAAUUUAUGAGUGUGCCACAGACGCUUUCAACAUACAUGUUUGUAUAUCGGUUUUGAUGGGCUGUGUCUGACAUAAAAUUGGCGAGCUUUGUAUUUGCAUAUAAAGUGUGCCUCAUUCUUUGGGUUUUAUUUGAGUUUUUAUAUUAAUUUUUUUACCAUUCAAAUAAAAGAAGACCAAAACAACUUGGGUCAUAGUUUUAGUGCAACUUGGUGGCAUAGGAGAUACCAAUUUGCACGGAAAAGUGAUAAGUUCUGUCAAAAAAUAAUUAUUAUUUAAGUCUGGCAGGACCAGGGAGGGAUGAGAAUGAGGGAGAAAUGCUUAUUAUAGAUUAAUGAUCAAAUCAACAACGAAGAAAAGAAAAUGCUUAACAAGAUUAAUUAUUUUCUUUUUACAAACGUUCGAUUAAAUUAUUAAAAAUGUAUACGUUUGGAUCAAAAUUUUAAAAUAAUUUUUGACUGUGCAUUUUGUUAAUCAAAUUAAAUGUUUCAUUAACAUUAUCAUAUUUGUCUUUUUAUAAGAUACAAUGGAUUUCAUUGAGUGACAAUGAGCAACAUCGAUUCGUGUGGUUGGCUUUUAUGGGGUCCACUUAUACGAGUAGCACGAUAUGUAUAGUAGUACUAUUUGGACCUUGUUUUAUUCGGUCAAUUUUCACACCUCAAUGGUAAUAAUGUUCUCACACAUCAACCACAAGCCUUUUCUAGGAGCCAUUCACGACUCAUUGUCCCUUCUUUUUCUAUAAAUAAGUGCUUAUUUUAUACACAUUCUCAGUAUCACUUUCACUUUCACUUUCACAACAAACAAUGAACUCCCUUCGUGCUGUAGCAAUAGCUUUGUGCUGUAUUGUGGUUGUGCUUGGAGGGUUACCCUUCUCUUCAAAUGCACAACUUGAUCCAUCCUUUUACAGGAACACUUGUCCAAAUGUUAGUUCCAUUGUUCGUGAAGUCAUAAGAAGUGUUUCUAAGAAAGAUCCUCGUAUGCUUGGUAGUCUUGUCAGGCUUCACUUUCAUGACUGUUUUGUUCAAGUAUGUAUAAUAUUCAAUCAUUCACUAACUACAUGUUCUAUUUUGCUCAUUGCGUAUGACAUGCUAUAAAUUCUUGAAAUCUUAGUAUACCUAUAAUCCUAUAGUAGUAUGAUCUUCCCAUUUAAGUAGAAUUAGUACAUAGUAAGAUAUAAUAUAAACUAGAACAAGAUCAAAUAUAGCAAAUAAAGAAUAUGUUUAGCAUGUCCUUAUGCUGCCCCUAUAUGUUAUACAAUCCAAAAAUGAAAAAAAAAAAAAAAAUCUUAAUUUUGUGUCUUAAACAUAACUUGUGUUUAAGGGCACAAAUUAACAUUCACUCUGCUCAUUAAGAAAAUAUUAAGUAAUAUAUCUAGCAAAUGAAUUGAGUUGGAAUAGUGACUUUACUUACUUACCCGGCUGAACCAAAUUCUAAAAAUUUGAGGGUUGAAAUAAAUGAAAAAUAGAAUACUAUUAGAUAUAUUUACCCUUUUGUUUUAUUAUUAAAAUAUAAUCAUUCAUUAGUAUGUCCAAUAAUUAUAGUUUAAAGUGUAUGUCUAAUAAUUAUAGUUUAAGGUUUUUUUCCUUUUUAGUGAGAGAUUUUUUUUUUUACUCAUUUAGAAGCAAUGGAGCAAGUUUUUUUUUUCAAUUAGCAAAGACAUUGUAUAAAAAACUAUGGCAUCAACCUUUUAAAUUGUACGGUUGAAGUUAAUUUUUAUUAUGCUAUUGUUAUAAUCAUAAUGUAAAUUAUGUGAUCUAUAUACUGUAACAGGGUUGUGAUGCAUCAGUUUUACUGAACAAAACUGAUACCGUUGUGAGUGAACAAGAUGCUUUUCCAAACAGAAACUCAUUAAGAGGUUUAGAUGUUGUGAAUCAAAUCAAAACAGCUGUGGAAAAGGCUUGUCCUAACACAGUUUCUUGCGCUGAUAUUCUUGCCCUUUCUGCUGAAUUAUCAUCUACACUGGUAUAUAUAUGCCUCAAACUGUACUAUAUAUUUUUCUCAUUUACCAUUGAAUUUUCAAAUCCAAUUAUUAAUUCUGCUUAUUUGUUUUGUGAUGAAAUAAAAUAGGCAGAUGGUCCUGACUGGAAAGUUCCUUUAGGAAGAAGAGAUGGUUUAACAGCAAACCAAUUACUUGCUAAUAAAAAUCUUCCAGCUCCUUUCAAUACUACUGAUCAACUUAAAGCUGCAUUUGCUGCUCAAGGUCUCGAUACUACUGAUCUGGUUGCACUCUCGGGUAUGUAACAUUUUUAAAGUUUUUGUUUAAAAAAAUCUAAUUGGUCGUUACAAUGAUGACGCCAAUGUUACAAUAAUAAUAUAUUUGAUUAUUGAUUUAUAUAUGUUUCUCGAUUUCAGGUGCUCAUACAUUUGGAAGAGCUCAUUGCUCUUUAUUUGUUAGCCGAUUGUACAACUUCAACGGUACAGGAAGUCCGGAUCCAACUCUUAACACAACUUACUUACAACAAUUGCGCACAAUAUGUCCCAAUGGUGGACCUGGCACGAACCUUACCAAUUUCGAUCCAACGACUCCUGAUAAAUUUGACAAGAACUAUUACUCUAAUCUUCAAGUGAAAAAGGGUUUGCUCCAAAGUGAUCAAGAGUUGUUCUCAACAUCUGGUUCAGAUACCAUUAGCAUUGUCAACAAAUUUGCAACCGAUCAAAAAGCUUUUUUUGAGAGCUUUAAGGCUGCUAUGAUCAAAAUGGGAAAUAUUGGUGUGUUAACUGGGAAACAAGGAGAGAUUAGAAAACAAUGCAACUUUGUUAAUUCAAAAUCAGUAGAACUAGGUUUAGUCAAUGUGGCUUCCACAGAUUCAUCAGAUGAGGGUAUGGUUAGCUCAAUGUAAUUGUAGUGAUUGGAAGCAACUAAUAAAUUAAUAAGCUAUAACUAGGCACAUUCAUGGUAUGUGUGAGAUAGUUGUUAGAUGCUUUGUGAGCUAAAAUCGUUUGUAUUUCAUUUGAAGUGUUUCUUUGAGUUGUGAGUUGAUAAUGAUCAUUUUCUGUUUCUUAUUUCGGACUUGCUUUAGCAUUAAUUUUACAAGUUUUAAGUUAAUGGAGUGCAAGACAAAGACAUCUCUUACACUAGAUUUAUCCACUUUGUAUGAUAUUUCCCAUUAAUUUACAUGCUAAUUUUGUAUAAAAAAGUAAUAAGCAAGUAUCUCCAUGGUAUAUAUUCGUAUAUUUUCUAUUACUCAACAAACUUAGUAAAAAAAAAAAAAGGGUCAUUUCAUUUAUCACCGGAUGAUAUUGAACAAUUUAUCAAUUUUACGACUUUAAAAAUCAGUGAUUUGUUCUUACUUUAGGCUCGGUCAUACAAAUACUGAUGUUAUUACCUCUUUUUUUUUUUUUUUUUUUUUUUUUUUGGAAAAAUGAUGUUAUUACCUCUUUUGAAUUAAGUUAUGGAUUCUCCAAUCCACAUAAUUUUAACACAUGACCCCAUAUAUAUGCGCGGCUAAUUUAAUCUCAUCUAAAAAGCAUGAAGAAAUAAGUUAGUAAACAUACCCUUCCAUUUACUUUGACAAAAAAACUCAAGUCUUUCUUUUCAAAUAUGGUGACAUUGGUGGUAUAUACUUAAAUCCCUUAAAAAUUUGAUUUAAGUAAUGUUUAUUUAGUAAAUAUACUUUAUUAAGCAGACUCUCUUUUCAUAAGGUUCAUAAAUUUUAAUAAUUAAAAUAUUAUUUCAUUGUUUAAAUAUGGUGAUGUAUAAUUAUUGAUUGAAAUCUAAUUUAGAAAAUUUUGUUUGAGAGAUGUUAAAUUGAAGAGACGAGUAAGACUUGAUAAGUCACAAACCCAAAUCAUUUUGAUUUGGGAACACACACAUAAGUAAGGAAGAUAAAAGAAAAUAAAUUAAAAACUCCAAAUUGGAUAUGUAUGUUUAAGUGCGUGCGCGUCCAAAUUAUUUUUGUCUAAGAUUAUGUAUUGUGCCCAAACCAAUUAAUGUUGCUCUAAAGAGAUUGAAGGUUUAUUUAUUCCUAUAAGAUUAACUUACUGUUGUGAAUUCGAACUCAAAACUCAUACCAAUACAAACUAUGAUGUGUGGAGCAAAUAAAAGUAGUAAUCAAUAUCAAAGUGAACACAAGCAACAACAAUAAUAACAACAGCUAGAUCUAAUCUAGUAAUCAAAGUGAAAAGCUCAAAACCACAAACAAAAGAUAAAGAGAGAAGAGAAACAAACACACCAAAGAUUGUUGACCCAGUUCGGUCCAACUUGACCUAAUCUGGGGGAGAGGUUGAUCUCUCCAAUCCACUAUCUAAGAGUUCUUACAAAGUGAUACAAAUGGGUUACAAGAAAUUAGCUUAAACAAGCUCACAAAGAACAAAUCUAAUUUCUACCCAUUUUCCCAAUUUCACCAAUGAACAAGAGACUCAAUGAUUUUCACUCACCCAAGGUGUUUACAAUGUUUCCCAACCCAAGAGAACUCUAAUCAAAGACCCUCAACCCUAAAGUUACCUCCUUUGAUUUCCCAAGUUUUCCUCUCUUGAAGUUCUCUCUCUUUCCUCCUUCAAAAAUGAGCUGAAACACUUAAAGAGUACACAGUGAUAGACAAAAUCGCGAUGCGCCAGUGAAAAUCGCGCCACAGUUGAAGCGUGCGACCCAAGGUACGACAACCUUAUCCACAAACCGCGUCACGCCUGCACCAAUCGCACCAUGAUUUGCCUUCAGCAGAAACCAUCCAUUCUGCCACCAAAAUCGCGCCACGCCUCCCAAAAUCACGGCACGAUUUUGGCAUUUCACAACAUCACAAUUUGAAGACAAUUUCAACACUUGUCUUUAGAGCACAAAUUAAGAAAUCAAAGAUGAAAAUAUUUUGUUGGAAAUUGUGCAUUCAAUAUUCUAGAAAUUUAAAAUCUUAUCUUCUCAAGACAUAAUUUACUACUAUAAUUUAAUUUCAUUUUUAAAUUCUUAACUUGUAUCCUAAAGGUACAAGUUAACACUACCCAAAUUAUAAAUGAAUGAUGUAGUAUUUUUGGAACCACUUAAAUGACAAGUCAACACUCCCAAAAUUACCCGAUUUUCAUUUGCUUUUUAAAAAACUGAAAUAUGAGGAAGGUCAUUGUGAGAAUGAUAUGAUUGAUAAACAAAAUCUACUUUGUUUAUAAAUGCUAUUACCUAACAUAUACAGGUGGCGAUAAUCAUUGUAGCAUAAGAUAAAGCAAAACAGGUAAACUAAUAAUGGCAAGAGUAAUGAUAUUUGAACAAAUUUUUUGGUACAGCUUUUGGGACAAUCUUGUUGUGUUCUCUUUUUAUUGGUCAAAAACAAUAUAGAGAGAAAAAGGAAGAGAAAAAAUAAGAAGAUAAUAUGAGUAUGAGAGAGAAGGUUGUACAAAAAUUAUAUAAAAAUGAUUGUACAAAUAUCAUUUCUCUAAUGACAAAGAUAGAUAAGUCCACAAAAAAAUGUCAUAAUGAAGGUGUCGAAUGUCGAAAAAGAAAACUCUAUGAAGACCCAACAAGUUGGGGCGAGCUUUAAUGCAAUACUUCCAGCUAAGGCGGAUCCAUAAAUGUGCAAGAUAGGGCUUCAAAAAAUAUAAAUAAUCGGGGCCGGCUAUAACUUGUGCAAGCAUAAAAACUACAUAUUAGUUCUAAUUUGUUGCUGUUCAACCGUCUCAAAGUAAUACUCUCGUCAUUUCAGAAUAAAUGUUGUUUAUAAAAGUUUUGUAUUAAAAUAAUCGCUGUUAUGCUUUUUCAAUGCAACUUUAAUAAAUUUAUUCUAAGUUUGCUCUCACAUUAAUCUUAUAUGCACAACUUUUAAAUCAUUAUAUUUCACUUUGACAUUAAUGAUUUAAAUGUUAUAUUACUCUUAUAUUAAUCUUAUAAGCAAAAAAUUAUGCAUUUUAGAUUCAUUCAAUUAAUGAUGUAUGUGGGCUUUAUUAUAGACCACAUACAUCAUUCAGUUUAACAUAGUCGAGUAUAAACAAAAACUUGGUUGAGUUUUCUCGAGUUUAACACGUGUUAACUCGGUCAAACUCGCCAAACAUCUCGAUUUUACCAGAAACCGAGUUUACCUCCGAGUUAACACGAUUUCAGCACCUAAAAACGUAAAUUCGUCCGAGUUUACGAGUUAACACUCAAUUUGUGGAACAUUAUCCUCAAUCCCACGUAUUACUCAACUGACUUGAGAAAAAAAAAUGCACUCUUCCCGAUUCAAUUGUCUUAGCCUUCGCUUAAAUUUUCACCAACUAGAAGGACCCUCGCCUAAUCACACAUCAGCCGAUGUCGAUUAAUAAAGUAAUUAGUUUUAGGUUAGGUUUAAACAUAGUCAUAUGCCAAUCUAGCAAGUUAAUUUUCAUAUAUCAAAAUAGUUUUUGGAAAAAUAUACAUUGUUGACAAAUUUCAUAUACACAUAAUUUUUCUUAAUUAUUGUGUAUUAGUGAAGAGAGUUUUUCAUAUAUGGAUAUAUGUGGUAGCGUGUUUGUCCGUUUCAUUAAAAAGUCACCAUUCCCUUUACUAAUUACUUUCCAUUUUAGGAGAAACACUCUUUUAUGGGUCCCACCAAAAACUCUUUUCUUCUCUAUUUAUUUGGUAACCAAACAAAGGAAAUAGUAUACUCCUCUUUUAUCUCCAACCUCUCUCUUUCGUUCUAGUUUCCUAUGGAGCUAAACAAAUAUGCUAAAGUUUGAGGGAGUAAAUGCCAGCAAAUUGAGAUGAAGAUAUUUUGAAUUCUGAACAAAUUCGUGACGACCACGUUCCCGUAUAGACAGAGCAAUUUGAUUUAGGUAAAAAUACAACAAAGGAUUUCAACAUUGAAAAUAAGAAACUUCGAUGGUGAUUUGCCAUCUUUGUGGUCCACACAUGAGAGACGUGACACUAUAGCUAGUACAACUAUUUGUAUUUACACGUUACUCCCUCCGUCCCAAAUUGUACGACGUUUUCAGACAUAUUAAAAAAUACAAUUAAUAUUGUCUGGAAAAGAGAUAUUAUGAGUUGUUUUACAAAAUUGUCCUUAAUAAAUAAUAUGGGAAAGAUAAAUGAAAGAAUUGAAAGAAGAGAGGGUAAUAAAUAAUUAAGAUUAUAACAGAAAAAGUAACAUUAAUGUUGUAUUGGUAUUGUAAAGUGACAUAUAAUUUAAGUUAAAUUUUUUUCCCUAAAGCGACAUACAAUUUGGGACGGAGGGAGUAGUUUUUAGGUCAAUAGUUACACCUUAAACCCUUAAUAAUUGCUAGGCAAUGUUCUCACCGUUCAUUGCACAACAAGACUUUAUUACUAGCCAUUAUAUUUGUAUGUCUAUAAAUAAAUGCUCACAAUAAAUUAUAAGCACAUUCUCACUCUUCAAAACAAUGAACUCCUUAGCAACUUCUAUGUGGUGUGUUGUGCUUUUGGUUGUGCUUGGAGGACUACCCUUUUCCUCAGAUGCACAACUUAGUCCCACUUUUUACAGCAAAACUUGUCCAACUGUUAGUUCCAUUGUUAGCAAUGUAUUAACAAAUGUUUCUAAGACAGAUCAACGCAUGCUUGCUAGCCUCGUCAGGCUUCACUUUCAUGACUGUUUUGUUUUGGUAUGUCUUUAGGUGACUACUUUAUAUUUCUAAUAUUAUCUUUAGAUUUAUAAAUAUUAGUUUAAAAUAUAUUAUAAUACAAUAUGGUUAGUUCGAUCCAUGCGCAACUCCUAUAUAUUAUACAACUAAAAAUGGUAAAUAAUUGUCUACUACAACUGAUCAACAGACGUUUCCUAAAAAAAACGUCAAUUAGAUAUAUCUUCAUUUGUCCCUUUGAAAUUAACUGUCUUUUGAUCGAACUUUUAUUAUAAUGUCCCUUUUACAAAAUAGAAGGAUUAGAACAAAGAAACAAUAGAAAAAUAAUUCUUAAACACCUAAAACCAUUCUACCAUUAAAGAAAGAAGAAAUAAAUGGAAAUAAUAUAUGUGAUAGGUUGUUGAUAUAAUAGGAAGAGAGAGAUGAAGAGAAAAUAAAUGUAGAAGUAGAAUGUACGUAAGAAAAGUAAGAGAGAUGCAAAUAGGGUUCUAAUAAUUGUCUUGCACUUCUUUUCUUUAUAUUUUAUAAAAUUAUGCAUUAACUAGUAUUUUCUAAAAAUUGUAGGCCAAGUAUAUGAAUCAACUUUCUUUUUUAAGUUUUUAACUUUCAAGUAAAUUUUUAAUAUGCUUUUUUACCAUAUGUUCUUUAAUUUAUGCGUCAAAAAAUAAUGUGAUGCAUAAUUUUCACAGGGAUGUGAUGCCUCGGUUUUGUUGAACAAUACUGCUACGAUCGUAAGCGAACAACAAGCUUUUCCAAAUAACAACUCUUUAAGAGGUUUGGAUGUUGUAAAUCAGAUCAAAACUGCUAUAGAAAGUGCUUGUCCUAACACAGUUUCUUGUGCUGAUAUUCUUGCUCUUGCUGCUCAAGCAUCCUCUGUUCUGGUACAUAUGCCCUAAUUCUAAAUAUAUUUCUGUAAUUUAAUGCCUCGUUGAUCAUUAAAUUUCAAAUGCAAUAUUUAAAUGAUUCUAUUUCUGUUCUGAGUAUAUAAUACUAUAAUAUAUGCAUUUGAUAAUGGUUGCAAUCCAACAAAAAUGAUCAUAUAGUUAAUUAAGGUAGCGGCGCCGUCUGUAUUUUGUUUUCAGUUUUUGCCGCGAGUUUUUAUGCGCCUUGCAUUUACUCGACGUGAAUAAAUUUUCCGUUUCAAAAAAAAAAGUUAAUUAAGGUAGCUUCAAAAUCUAGGGUUAUUUUUAUAAUGAUUAAAUAAAAAAACCAUUUCAAGAAGUUAAUCAUCUAUGAAAAUUAAAUACUACAUCACAAGGCUAAGAGUAACACUUAUUUUACCUAUGAUGAAAUAAUACAGGCACAAGGUCCUAGUUGGACAGUUCCUUUAGGAAGAAGGGAUGGUUUAACUGCAAACCGGACACUUGCAAAUCAAAAUCUUCCGGCCCCAUUCAAUACCUUGGUUCAACUUAAAGCUGCAUUUACUGCCCAAGGCCUGAAUACUACUGAUCUAGUUGCACUCUCGGGUUUGUGCUCAUUUUAGCGAUGAUGUUGACGUUACAUAAAAUAAAAAUUAUAUAUAUGAUUAUUGAUUUAUAUAUGUUUCUCGUUUUCAGGUGCUCAUACGUUUGGAAGAGCUCAUUGCGCACAAUUUGUUGGUCGAUUGUACAACUUCAGCAGUACUGGAAGUCCGGAUCCAACUCUUAACACAACUUACUUACAACAAUUGCGCACAAUAUGUCCCAAUGGUGGACCUGGCACGAACCUUACCAAUUUCGAUCCAACGACUCCUGAUAAAUUUGACAAGAACUAUUACUCCAAUCUUCAAGUGAAAAAGGGCUUGCUCCAAAGUGAUCAAGAGUUGUUCUCAACAUCCGGUGCAGAUACCAUUAGCAUUGUCAACAAAUUCAGCACCGAUCAAAACGCUUUCUUUGAGAGCUUUAAGGCUGCA
Molecule: long non-coding RNA, 10980 nt
Filed under: Medicago truncatula (barrel medic)
Lineage: Eukaryota; Viridiplantae; Streptophyta; Magnoliopsida; Fabales; Fabaceae
Description: long non-coding RNA (MTRU_LNC008165)
Source: RNAcentral